CCCCCAGCCCCAUCUGCACGCGCCGUGAGCGCCUCCGCUGGAGCAGGCUCAGCAGGGGCUGCUGGCAAGGGAGUGCAGCUAAGUCCCCUGCUAUUUCUGCAAGGGAUGAUAUGGAAAGUUGGAUGGGGCGGGGGAAUAAGCAGUGCAUUUUUAAAACGCGCUAUUAAAACAUACCAGCAUGGAUCCCACAUACCCACUUACAUCUCACCGUGCAAAGAGGUUUGCUGCAGCCGGAAGUUGUACCCGUCAGCACCUGCUGAGGGCUUCGUUGACCAAACUGACAGAUGGCUUUUGGAGAAUUUGGCAGUCUUGUUCUUAUUGGAUUAUGGGGCACCACUUUCAGAUAAAAACAUGGACCUGAUUGGCAUCAUCCAGUAUCCAUAGAAACCCUGGAGGGUGCAUUCCAUUUCUCCAGCAAAAAAAUGAAGAGGAAGCUACAGUUUCCCACACUUAUAAUGCAGGUGAAACCCAAAUAGGAGGAGAUGGGGCCCUAUGUAAUGUACAAAAAAGGAGCUCCAUAAGAUUGGCAUUAUCCUGUAGUAGUGUCACAGCCUGCAGUCGUUUAAUGCCACUUCUUCUGAGGCCAGGAUUCCACGCCCAAGUGCAUUUAGUAGAGCAGAUGAAAGGAGUGGAAAACCUGCUUCUUUAGCCAGAAUUUUGUCAGAGGAAAAGGGGCUGAGCUAACACAGCAACAUCCUCCAUCCCUAUGACCCUGUGUAUGAUGUCAAUGUAUGAUGAGCCUAUGGGGCUCAGCAGUUUCACUGUCAUGGCUGGGUGUGAAAGGAGAGAGAGCAAGCCAAUUUCCACAGCAUCAUCUCCUAACAAACCCACAGGGAUUUUCUUAUAAACCUUCUCUCUGUCUGCGCCCUGCUGCAUCUGUUGGGCUAGGAAGGAAUGUUUCAUCAGUCUGCCACAAGGACAGUAUUCAUGGUUGUCUGGGGUAGGACAUUCUUAGUGGCAGUCUUUCACCUCUGGAGAUCAGCCUUGCUGGAAAUACAUCCAUGCCUGAACCUAGCCAUAUUUAGGGCAGGAGGCAAGAACAUCACUUCAUUCAGGCUACUAGCUAAUAGCAGGUUCUGGAAUGCUCUGAUACUGAAUCCCUUGACAUUAAGUCUAUUGGAUGCUAUCAACUCUCUCUGGUCCUCUAAAGGAAGUUGAGCCAGCGGCUGCACAUAGUCAUGGAGCAUAUGUUCUCCCCACUCAUGCAAAGUUGUUUGGUACUUUCUUAAUCUAUGUAAAGUGAGCUUCAACACAAAAGGGUUAGCUGCAUUAUAAAUGCCUGAAAUAUUAAUAAUAAUGUGUGUGCUUUUUUAUGAGUUAAUAGAUGUGUGGGUAAUAGGUAUUAUAAGGAUUAUUGUAGAACACUACGCUAUACUUAACCAUCUGACUGUGAUCUCUGAAAGAGAGAUUGCAUACAUACGGUAUUUAACUCAUUUUUUGUUCUAGAACUAGCAGAUAGUAGCAAACACUUAUUUAUGGUUUUGGAUGUGUUUUGCUGUUUAGGAUAAGCAUUCUGUAAAAUGUGAUUGUUUUGCUUUGCUGUGAUUAUUGUUUUUGUUUUGAUCCUGAUGAGCUGGACCAAAGCUUCACUUUGAGGUUAGUUAAAACCUGCCCCAAAACUUGGUGGAACUCAGUAAAAUUUCUUGUGUGCCCUGGAAGACUCUAUGAACUGCUAGGGAACUGGUAGGAUUACUAUAUCACAUAUUCCAAAGAAAUAAAAUCUGAUUCAGAUGGGACGGGAUUUGUGUUUGGACUGCUUAAAAUGCGUGAUUGUUAGUUAUUUUUUGCUAGCAUUAGCACCCUACAAACCCAUGUGAAAACAGUGUCUUUUUUAGAGAUUUCAAGACCCUUACCCUUCAAUGAAGAUCUGAAAGAGCUCUUAGCCCACAUGUCUGAAACCUCCAAUAAGUUCUCUAGCAACAUUAGGGAAAACCAGACAUGACAUUCCCAAUAUGUGUAAGAUAAAUAAAUAAACAAACAAACAGAAGAACCCAUUGCCCCUCACUAUUUUUUUUUAACUUAGAAAACGCCUUUCAGGGGAUCUGUAUACAUCAUAAAUCUAUUAUUUCCUUUGCAGGUAACUUUUAAGAGUAAUAAAUAUAUUUACUGUCUUAACACUUGAUGCGUACCCCACAGAAGUCUAUGGAAGGACUUCCAUUGACUGCACUGGGUUUUGGUUAGUAAGAAUCCUGUGCAGAGAGGAUAUAUUACAGCUCCAUAGUGAAACCUAUCCCUUAGCUUUAAUAGAAGCUUUAUAAGCAUGCAGUAUUGUGUUUUAUUAGCAUGUUCUAAUGUAUUCUAUUGAUCACAGUGCAAAUUAAAAUGCCUAUUGUUAAGAUAAAUAUUCAUAUAGAUAUGCAAUGAUAAAGACCUGAUUAAAAAAAAGCAACACCAACAAACCUUGUGUACAUUUUACAUAUAAGGGUACAUUUCAUUUAAAUUAGAUAAAUCUGUGACACAGGGCUGAUUACACUGGU
Molecule: long non-coding RNA, 2477 nt
Organism: Trachemys scripta elegans
Lineage: Eukaryota; Metazoa; Chordata; Testudines; Emydidae
Exons: 8
Source: RefSeq, a predicted model, not a curated record